Molecule: long non-coding RNA, 7210 nt
Organism: Cuculus canorus (common cuckoo)
Lineage: Eukaryota; Metazoa; Chordata; Aves; Cuculiformes; Cuculidae
Exons: 5
Source: RefSeq, a predicted model, not a curated record
UGAAGAAUGUGUUAUUUUUCUGUGCUACCCAAUAUAGACAAAACCAGGCUUAAACUCUGAGCAGGCAAACCAAGCUGGCCAGUUUUGAAAUCGCAUCACAUUUGAAGCUAUAGCCCUUGCAGAGCAUGAAGGCAGAAACUGGGGUUUUCCUGCCUGCUAUGUGCAUUCUGCUAAUGAUGAUGUUUAAUUGUGAGGAGCAUGAGCAGCACUGUUUGGAUACCAUAGCUUUUUGCAUGCCUAAAUCCACUCUUGAUUGAAGGCAUUCAGUAUAUGUUAUAAAAAUAUCCCUGUAAUUACCAGCAGCUUCCCAGCCCACUGUAAAAUCUCUGCUGCCUUGUAGGAGCAGUAUCUCUCAGCUUCUCCAGAAGGACAGGGUGCAAUUAGGUUGUCAGGUAAUUAUAAUUAUUCUAAUGAGGAGGUGGUUUGAGGGAAGUGAGUUUGGCAGCUGGGUGGUGUCCAGCCCAGGUGGGCUGUUGUGGCAAGCAAUGUUAUGAUCUUUCCUGGCAGGGAUGGUACAGGUUUUCUGCUUGCUGUUGGGUGCUGCAUCAACAAACACAGCCCAAGCCUACUACACUUGUGCCUUGGGUUGCUUUCAGAAAGGAAAUGCCGUAGCUGCACGGUUUCCUUUCAUCUCUGACAUUCUACCUCAACUGUAUUGCAGAGGAUAUCUAUCCUCAUUGUGGAUGGUUGAACUGCACUGGAGAAGCCAAAUUGUUAUCGUACACUAAAGGCCACAAGGUCUACGUUGAAUUCUGAAGAACAAAAUGUGGGUGGAGAAUGGGAUGAAGGUGGAUCUGAUCUGACUGCACAUUAGGUGGUCGUGGCUGGUGUUGCAAGGGGAAGCAUCAGGCAGAAGAGGUGGUUUCUCCUGGAGCUCCCAAGUUUUCAGUCGCAGGGGCUGUCUUAUUUCAGAUUUCUGUGAAUGACCCAAAAAACUAGAAGAGCAACACUGAGGUGUCUGGAUGAGGCAGAGGAGGACAGUACAGAGGAGGUUAUAGUUGUAAAAAAAUAAUUGGAUGACCUGGAAGAUGGGAGCCACAACCAUGGUAUGAAGCACAUCAGCAUAAAACACAAGGUCUUUGAGACUGAGGAGUGACAAGAUAUGACAAAAUAGGACUUCGCAUUGUCUGGGAGUGACAGAGAAGGGCUUUGGACUAGCCACUGAUCUCACACAGUACCUGAAUGCUGCCAAGCAAAAGGUGGCUGCACCCUGAGGGAAUUCUCAGGACAAGGCCUCUCCAUUGACCUUAAAACCCUCAGGACAAGAGCAACCAAGACCUCUUCUGGAACAGUGGGUACAACUCUGAUCAUCCUUUCCCCAUAAAAAUUCAGAGUAGAGUGAAUGUAAAGCAAAUCCACCAUCCUGGUUGCUCCACGCGUGAAAUGGGUGUGAGGGCCAGACGUGGUUGUCCUUCUCACGUCUUGGUUUUUCAACAUGGCAGAGACAGGCUCUGAGCUUGGCUUCCACCUCUACCCAGUAGAAGAAAAUGUUCUCCUCCUUUUUGCCUCCUAAUGAUGAUGAUGACCAUUCACCUCUUGUUUUGUAUGUGUCCUUUGCUAUGAAAGACUGUCCUUGUACUCGGUGCUUAUGUUCCUAACCCUUGGCUUGGAAAGGGUACACCGGCCAACUGGACAGUCAUUCAUUUCGAUGAGAGGCUGUCUGUUCUGCAAUUAAUAGACAAAAUGCCCACCACUGUGGUUGAAAAGAAGUUUUAAUUAAAAUCCCUUGAUAUUGGCCUUCCCUAGACAGUGAAGUGAAUAGGAAGAGGGCAGAAGGCCCAGGUCGGUGUCUUUGGUCACCCUAGGAGAAGAGUGUCUGCUGAGCUGAGACUGAACACGAGGAAGAACCUGGUUUAUAAUUGCAUGGGCUUAUUUUUUUUCCCCUCAAGUGACCUGCCCAAUGGACAAUUGCAAGCUGAUAGGAGCGCAGAUACUGCCAACCAAAAGCUGGGAUAGGUCCACAGGUCGUUUGAGUCCUAAUGAGAAACAAUGAAUAGAAGCUCACAUCACACGAGUGAAAAACACCUCAUCCUCUUCUCUAAUGAGCAGAGCGUACCAAAUGUUUCUGUCUUGGGCUUUGCUUGGCUUUCAGAGGUGCCUAGAGCUGCAUCUUCCAGGCUGGCUCCCAAGCUGUUGUCACUCACCCCAUCUUCUCUCUGAUGGCCACCAGGAAGGUACCUUGCUCUGCUGGCUGGCCAAGGCGAACCUGCAGUGGUUUAUGAUAGUGGCAUGGGUUUAAUUUUGUGCUGUCAAGCUUUGUGGGAGCGCUGAACAGCUUUGGAGUUUCUCAGCCGGUGCUGGUGGAGACAUCAUCCAGGGUGAAGAAAGCUGGGGCCUGAGGGCAUGGAGCAACUCCAGAAGUCCAGUGGCAGUUCUCCUGCACCAGAUGCCAGGGACAAAGAUGCAGCUGAGCAUGUGAAACAACAUGUAUUGCAGCUCUCAAGGGAUACGGGCAUUGCUGGGUGAGUGGGACCACCUCAGCUGUGGUGGAUCUUCCCUCCAUGAGGCUGUGUUAUAGAUAAAUGGGUGUUAUUUCUUGAAAUUAAUUUGUGGUCUUUUUCUCCUGUGCCUUUCCCUCGUCUGCUUCUCAGCAUCUGUCCUGCUCACUGACUCCACUGAAUUAUAUCAGGGCACAGGUAUCUGGGGUGAAAAGUGUACAUCUUGCAUGGACAGCUAGCACCAUCAUCGCUUCCUGGCUCUGCACACAUCCAGCACACAGCCAGAGGAACAGCAGGGAAGUUUCAAAGCCCCAAGCUUUAACCCUUACACCCAUUUCUGAAUGACAGCCAUGGGCAUGAUCCCUGCAAGGCACAAAGAAAGAUUGGAAUAAGGAUGUUGGCUCUGUCCCAUUGGCCUGGAAACUGCUGUUCACAGCUAUGACAAUGAGUCUAAGUUAUGGGAUAAACAGGAUCGGGAGAAGCUGAUCGGUGGAGAGAGAUCUCAUCAGUGUCUGCCAGGCCUUUGCCAGGAACUGGAAGCAAGAUAAGAUCAAAGGUAUCUGCUGCACCUUCGCUGCACCAGUUUCUCAUCUCCAUCCCAGUUCUCUUGCAAAGCAAAUCGGAAGCUGGACAAGCAGCUUUCCACAAAGGUGGGUGUGAAAAGGCAGAAAGUUGAGCUAUAAAGGAAGGAGGGAGCCAGGGGCAGAACAGUCUUCUCCUACCCUAAAUCAGAUUGCUCCCUGUCAGUGUUACAGGGCUAUGGCAUCUUAGGGUCUAUUGUUCUGUCUCAGAUGAAGGGUGAUGUCUCCCUGCAAGUUGUCAAGGCUGUAGCACCAACGAACCCAGCAGAAAAGGGCAAGCAGAGGCCUUGAGAGGGAGAUAAGUGGUGGAGGGAUAAUUCUGACUGGAAAACGGCUGCUAUUGGAGGUAUCUCUGCUGCUUCACUCUGCCUGACGUGCUCCAGCCCUCGGAUCAUCCAUGUAGCCCUCCUCUGGACCCAUUCCAACAGUUUGAUCUCCUUCUCGUGUUGAGUAUCGUGCACGGCUGGAGCUGUCUGUGUGCUGGGCAGUCCCUGUCCCAAAGAAACUUGCCUGGAGGCAAAAUGAAUCACCUGAAGGCUCAGUCUUGUGCAGUGGCCAAGGUAAGGACCCUGGUUGAACAAGCACGUGGAGCUUCUACGUUCUUACUGCAGCCACAGAACGUGUGGGAAGGCUUGCAGAGCUCCCACUGACUUGGUUCCUGCCAUGCUGCCCCAAAACCACAACCCCAGCAAAAGAAAAAACAGCUCUUUCCUUGGUAUCUGUUUAUUUACAGGUGGAAGCUGGAUGAGCAAAGGCAUUUACUCCAUUGCUUGGAGACCUUGGGCAUCUUCCAGCCCCAGCGUACAGCAGGGACCAACCUGCUCUGCAAACCCACAACUGACCCUCCAGCAUGGGGACAAGGAGUCCUAAAUAAGCUCUUCAGAAGUAAUGAGGAACUCCAGCACAUGCACUAAAAAUAAGGAAACAGCAGGCUGAGCUGGGAGGCUCCCGUGAGUCCAGGCUGACUGAGCCCUGAUUUGUGGUCUGACCUCAGCCGCACUCAUUGAACUCCUUGGGCCGUGGCUCGUCUGGCUGGAAAACUGAGUAGAGUAAAAAGCGAGACGUCAAAGCUAAGCGUAGCUUUUCCUUCUGCAGAUAAAUCACUAGGAGAUGAGGAAAUUGGCUGUGUUUGUUUGCAAACAGCUUGCUUUUAGCGUGCCAAGCCUGCCUGCAGAGAGUGGCUGCGCCAGGCAGGUCGCACAGUUGGGAUGGGAGGAUGUGCAAACCAUCGUGUUGCCCUUGUUCUGCUGAUGGAGAGUUAGCCCAAAGAUCCUGUCCACAACAGCACGGUGGUACCCAGGGACAGGGAGUGGAGUGCAAACCACCAAUGUGUAAAGGAUGGAGGUAUGAACUGGUGAAAGAGGGGAGAUUUAGAUUAGAUCUUAGGAAGAAAUGUUUCCCUGUGAGGGUGAUGAGGUGCUGGCACAGCUUGCCCAGAGAAGUUGUGGCUGCCCCAUCCCUGGAGGUGUUCAAGGCCAGGUUGGACGAGGCUUUGAGCCUGUGAUCCAGUGGGAGGUGUCCCUGCCCAUGGUAGGGGGCUAGCAACUGGAUGGGCUUUGACGUCCCUUCUAACCCUAACCAUUCUAUGAUAUUCACGUAGCAAAUGUCUGUGUCAUAAAGAGUUUAUCUAGAUGCAAAUUUGGCACCUGCUAGGCUUGAGCCAGGGUAUCUCAGUUAUUAAGUGCUUAACAGAGAAAGCUCAAGGGGACACAGGAAUAACUACACCCUACUCAUCCCCAUUUUCCUUGUGGCUCCAGGCAGCAGGAGCAGAGUUUGCUGUAGCUUCUGUUCCCAUAUAUUCUGGAGCUGAAGCUGUAAAAACAGGCAGAGGAUGACUACACCACACACUUGCAAGCACUGAGGAAUGAUGCGGAUGUGAGAAGAAGAAGAAAAACUUGCUCAUUUAGUGUUUUUCUGCCUGCCUGCCAGAACUGCAUCUGCUCUUCAGCUGACGCAGUGUGAGACCACGAGCUGGCUAUUAGAUGAGAAAAAUGCAAGUAAUUCUUGUCACGUGGAGGAAGGGGGAGCAGAGACCCACCCCGAUGGCCCUUCGGAGCUGAAAACUGAUUCUCGUGUCCAUCGGCUGCUAUGUUCAAGAUAACAAUGUAUGGAUUUUUUGUUUUCUUUUUAAAGUUUUUCCUAAAACUUUCAUAAUUUGAGAAGUUAACCAACAUGGCCAAACCAAGCUGAUGGUCUGUUGUGGAGGUAGAAAGGAGGGAAGAGCAUGAGCAGAUAUGAUCCCUUGCAGCAUCUUGGAGGCACCUGGGUUCAUGGCAAAACUCUUCAGGAGGCCCUCAGGACCUUCCAGAUGCUGGGGUGCUGCUGCCCUUUCCCCCUUCUUUCUUCCCAGCUCUCAGCACCACCUCUUCUGAGAGCUGGGACAGUUUAAACCCAUUUAUUUGAAGCCAGGGAGAGAGAGGAAGGAGGAGAAAUACAAUUACUGUGUCAGAGAUAUAUCUCCUGCAAGGUUCCUGGUGCACAGAAUGUCUGCUGAAACAAAAAUCAUCAUUUGUCUAGCCCUGAUAAUUUCAUGAAGAGCUCUGGAUCCAGGGGUGAAAUACAGUUGUUCCCAAGGAGGUGCCUGCAUUUUGACAGCUGCCAGAGAUGGUUAUUAUGCAUGGGAUGAGCGGGGUUCUGCUUUGCUCAGUGCUGCAGGAUGGACCCCAGCAGCUCAAGGCACGCCCCAAAAUGGGCCCUUUUGUUAUACCCACCCCGGGGCGAUGGCGCUGGGGGAGCUCAGUGUGAGCCUGGUUUGCAGUUGUUAUAGAAUCAUAGAAUGGUUUGGAUUGGAAGGGAUCUUGAAGCCCACCCAGUUUCGAGUCCCCUGCCAUGGGCAGGGACACCUCCCACUGAAUCAGGGGGCUCAAAGCCUCAUCCAACCUGGCCUUGAACACCUCGAGGGAUGAGGCAGCCACAACUUCUCUGGACAACCUGUGCCAGUGCCUCGUUACCCUCACAGGAAAACAUUUCUUCCUAAGAUCUAAUCUCAAUUUUAUCUCUUUCAGCAGAAAACCAUCCCCCCUCAUCCUGUCACUCCACGCCCUUGUAAAAAGUCCCUUCCCAGCUUUCUUGUAGCCCCUUUCAGGUACUAGAAGGCUGCUCUGAAGUCUUCUGGGAGCCUUCUUUUCUCCAGGCUGAACAACCCCAACUCUCUCGGCCUGUUCUUGUAUGGGACGUGCUCAACAGUUGAAUCAUCUUUGUAGCCUCCUCUGGACCUGUUUCAACAGCUCCAUAUCCUUCUUCUGUCGAGGAUUCCAGAACCAGACACAAUCCUCUAGGUGAGGUCUGACAAGAGAGGAACAGAGGGUCAGAAUCCCCUCCCUCGCCCUGCUGGCCACGCUGCUUUGGAUGCAGCCCAGGACACGUUGGCCUUCUGGGCUGUGAGCGCACACUGCCGGCUCAUGUCGAGCUUCUCACCGACCAGCACUCCCCCAAAGUCCUUCUCUUCAGGGCAGCUCUCAAUCUCAUCAUCCCCCAUCCUGUAUUGAAACUCAGGAUGGCCCCAACCCAGGUAUAGGACCUUGUACUUGGCCUUGUUGAUUCUCAUGAGUUUCUCACAGCCCCACUUCUCCAACUUGUCCAGGUCCCUGUGCGUGACAUCCUGGGCUUGCUUCUCAGUUUCUAAUCCCAAGGAGUAAGCUGGGAGUAUUUGGAGACUGGGAGACAGAAGGACAUAUGGCUCUGAACUGAGCUGUGUCUUUGUCAUGUGUUUUAAAUUGCAUUAAAAAAGAUGAUGUUCAAUAAUAAAUUAUAGCAUUUAAUUAGGAGGAUCCCAACGCCUGCUGUGCUCUGGUUUGGCCUGGGGGAGGGAAUGGAGCUGGGAGCUGUAAGAGGGAUAUAACAAGCAGUAAAAUAUAAUCCUGGGAUUACAGGCAGCAAUUAGCACUGUAUGUUCAUGUCACCCCACGCUCCUGGCCUGCGGGCUUUGGGGUGCAAUACAGGGGCCAGAGCAUGUCUACAGGUCUUACGAGGAGCGGCUGAGAGAGCUGGGGUUGUUUAGCCUGGAGAAGAGGAGGCUGAGGGUGACCUUAUUGCUCUCUACAACUACCUGAAAGGAGGUUAUAGAGAGGAGGGAGCUGGGCUCUUCUCCCAAGUGACUGAGGACAGGACAAGGGGGAAUGGCCUCAAGCUGCACCAGGGGAGGGUCAGACUGGAUAUCAGGAAAAAACUUUUCACAGAAAGGAUCAUCGG